CAUGGAUUGGUGGGGUCCCUCAGCCUGGCCUGUGCCCUCUCACAACCCAGGACCCCUCAGGGGAUGUUGGACUGCUGGUUUCUGCCCAAUCCCUGCAGGCCAGGCCGAGGGACCCCACUGUUGCACG
RNAcentral lists this microRNA precursor (127 nucleotides) under Myotis davidii. Its description in RNAcentral is "mir-9193 microRNA precursor family". It matches the Rfam family "mir-9193 microRNA precursor family". The record is from Rfam by way of RNAcentral. Lineage: Eukaryota; Metazoa; Chordata; Mammalia; Chiroptera; Vespertilionidae.